UCUGCGCAUGGCGUCGACGAACGCACGCAU
RNAcentral lists this small RNA (30 nucleotides) under Bombyx mori (domestic silkworm). Its description in RNAcentral is "ovarian small RNA-29976". The record is from RNAcentral. Lineage: Eukaryota; Metazoa; Arthropoda; Insecta; Lepidoptera; Bombycidae.